Molecule: ribosomal RNA, 1371 nt
Filed under: Micrococcus luteus
Lineage: Bacteria; Bacillati; Actinomycetota; Actinomycetes; Micrococcales; Micrococcaceae
Description: 16S ribosomal RNA
Rfam family: Bacterial small subunit ribosomal RNA
Source: RNAcentral
ACGAUGAACCCAGCUUGCUGGGUGGAUUAGUGGCGAACGGGUGAGUAACACGUGAGUAACCUGCCCUUGACUCUGGGAUAAGCCUGGGAAACUGGGUCUAAUACCGGAUAGGAACGUCCACCGCAUGGUGGGUGUUGGAAAGAUUUAUCGGUCAUGGAUGGACUCGCGGCCUAUCAGCUUGUUGGUGAGGUAAUGGCUCACCAAGGCGACGACGGGUAGCCGGCCUGAGAGGGUGACCGGCCACACUGGGACUGAGACACGGCCCAGACUCCUACGGGAGGCAGCAGUGGGGAAUAUUGCACAAUGGGCGAAAGCCUGAUGCAGCGACGCCGCGUGAGGGAUGACAGCCUUCGGGUUGUAAACCUCUUUCAGUAGGGAAGAAGCGAAAGUGACGGUACCUGCAGAAGAAGCACCGGCUAACUACGUGCCAGCAGCCGCGGUAAUACGUAGGGUGCGAGCGUUAUCCGGAAUUAUUGGGCGUAAAGAGCUCGUAGGCGGUUUGUCGCGUCUGUCGUGAAAGUCCGGGGCUUAACCCCGGAUCUGCGGUGGGUACGGGCAGACUAGAGUGCAGUAGGGGAGACUGGAAUUCCUGGUGUAGCGGUGGAAUGCGCAAAUAUCAGAGGAACACCGAUGGCGAAGGCAGGUCUCUGGGCUGUAACUGACGCUGAGGAGCGAAAGCAUGGGGAGCGAACAGGAUUAGAUACCUGGUAGUCCAUGCCGUAAACGUUGGGCACUAGGUGUGGGGACCAUUCCACGGUUUCCGCGCCGCAGCUAACGCAUUAAGUGCCCCGCCUGGGGAGUACGGCCGCAAGGCUAAAACUCAAAGGAAUUGACGGGGGCCCGCACAAGCGGCGGAGCAUGCGGAUUAAUUCGAUGCAACGCGAAGAACCUUACCAAGGCUUGACAUGUUCUCGAUCGCCGUAGAGAUACGGUUUCCCCUUUGGGGCGGGAUCACAGGUGGUGCAUGGUUGUCGUCAGCUCGUGUCGUGAGAUGUUGGGUUAAGUCCCGCAACGAGCGCAACCCUCGUUCCAUGUUGCCAGCACGUAAUGGUGGGGACUCAUGGGAGACUGCCGGGGUCAACUCGGAGGAAGGUGGGGACGACGUCAAAUCAUCAUGCCCCUUAUGUCUUGGGCUUCACGCAUGCUACAAUGGCCGGUACAAUGGGUUGCGAUACUGUGAGGUGGAGCUAAUCCCAAAAAGCCGGUCUCAGUUCGGAUUGGGGUCUGCAACUCGACCCCAUGAAGUCGGAGUCGCUAGUAAUCGCAGAUCAGCAACGCUGCGGUGAAUACGUUCCCGGGCCUUGUACACACCGCCCGUCAAGUCACGAAAGUCGGUAACACCCGAAGCCGGUGGCCUAACCCUGGGGGGAG